Molecule: ribosomal RNA, 443 nt
Filed under: uncultured bacterium
Lineage: Bacteria
Description: partial 16S ribosomal RNA
Rfam family: Bacterial small subunit ribosomal RNA
Source: RNAcentral
CCUACGGGAGGCAGCAGUGGGGAAUAUUGGACAAUGGGGGGAACCCUGAUCCAGCGACGCCGCGUGAGUGAAGAAGUAUUUCGGUAUGUAAAGCUCUAUCAGCAGGGAAGAAAGAAAUGACGGUACCUGACUAAGAAGCCCCGGCUAACUACGUGCCAGCAGCCGCGGUAAUACGUAGGGGGCAAGCGUUAUCCGGAUUUACUGGGUGUAAAGGGAGCGUAGACGGCGAUGCAAGUCUGAAGUGAAAGGCGGUGGCCCAACCCCCGAACUGCUUUGGAAACUGGAUGGCUGGAGUGCAGGAGAGGUAAGUGGAAUGCCUGGUGGAGCGGUGAAAUGCGUAGAUAUUAGGAGGAACACCAGUGGCGAAGGCGGCUUACUGGACUGUAACUGACGUUGAGGCUCGAAAGCGUGGGGAGCAAACAGGAUUAGAUACCCCGGUAGUC